RNAcentral lists this ribosomal RNA (504 nucleotides) under uncultured bacterium. RNAcentral describes it as "bacterial SSU rRNA". It matches the Rfam family "Bacterial small subunit ribosomal RNA", at positions 216 to 717 of the family's 1533-position model. The record is from RNAcentral.
ACUGGAGUGAGGGGCCUGCGUAGCAUCAGCUAGUUGGUGGGGUAAUGGCCUACCAAGGCGAAGACGCUUAGCUGGUCUGAGAGGAUGAUCAGCCACACUGGGACUGAGACACGGCCCAGACUCCUACGGGAGGCAGCAGUGGGGAAUAUUGGACAAUGGGCGCAAGCCUGAUCCAGCCACGCCGCGUGAGUGAUGAAGGCCUUCGGGUCGUAAAGCUCUGUGGGGAGGGACGAACGGCGCCAUGAAGAGUGGCGAUUGACGGUACCUCCUUAGCAAGCACCGGCUAACUUCGUGCCAGCAGCCGCGGUAAUACGAAGGGUGCAAACGUUGCUCGGAAUCAUUGGGCGUAAAGCGCACGUAGGCGGCUUUCUAAGUCGGAUGUGAAAUCCCUCGGCUUAACCGAGGACGUGCAUCCGAAACUGGGAGGCUUGAGUAUGGAAGAGGGUCGCAGAAUUCCCGGUGUAGAGGUGAAAUUCGUAGAUAUCGGGAGGAAUACCAGUGGCG